Molecule: ribosomal RNA, 431 nt
Filed under: uncultured bacterium
Lineage: Bacteria
Description: bacterial SSU rRNA
Rfam family: Bacterial small subunit ribosomal RNA
Source: RNAcentral
CGGAGGCAGCAGUGGGGAAUAUUGGACAAUGGGCGCAAGCCUGAUCCAGCCAUGCCGCGUGAGUGAUGAAGGCCCUAGGGUUGUAAAGCUCUUUUGUGCGGGAAGAUAAUGACGGUACCGCAAGAAUAAGCCCCGGCUAACUUCGUGCCAGCAGCCGCGGUAAUACGAAGGGGGCUAGCGUUGCUCGGAAUCACUGGGCGUAAAGGGUGCGUAGGCGGGUCUUUAAGUCAGGGGUGAAAUCCUGGAGCUCAACUCCAGAACUGCCUUUGAUACUGAGGAUCUUGAGUUCGGGAGAGGUGAGUGGAACUGCGAGUGUAGAGGUGAAAUUCGUAGAUAUUCGCAAGAACACCAGUGGCGAAGGCGGCUCACUGGCCCGAUACUGACGCUGAGGCACGAAAGCGUGGGGAGCAAACAGGAUUAGAUACCCCGGU